UCCUACGGGAGGCUGCAGUGGGGAAUAUUGGACAAUGGGCGAAAGCCUGAUCCAGCCAUGCCGCGUGUGUGAAGAAGGUCUUCGGAUUGUAAAGCACUUUAAGUUGGGAGGAAGGGCUGCUGGUUAAUACCCUGCAGUUUUGACGUUACCAACAGAAUAAGCACCGGCUAACUUCGUGCCAGCAGCCGCGGUAAUACGAAGGGUGCAAGCGUUAAUCGGAAUUACUGGGCGUAAAGCGCGCGUAGGUGGUUCGUUAAGUUGGAUGUGAAAGCCCCUGGCUCAACCUGGGAACUGCAUCCAAAACUGGCGAGCUAGAGUACGGUAGAGGGUGGUGGAAUUUCCUGUGUAGCGGUGAAAUGCGUAGAUAUAGGAAGGAACACCAGUGGCGAAGGCGACCACCUGGACUGAUACUGACACUGAGGUGCGAAAGCGUGGGGAGCAAACAGGAUUAGAUACCCCUGUAGUCAAA
Molecule: ribosomal RNA, 469 nt
Filed under: uncultured bacterium
Lineage: Bacteria
Description: bacterial SSU rRNA
Rfam family: Bacterial small subunit ribosomal RNA
Source: RNAcentral